GCAAGUCGAACGGUAGAGAUCCUUCGGGAUCUUGAGAGUGGCGAACGGGUGAGUAACACGUAGAUGAUCUGCCUUAAAGUUGGGGAUAGCCCAUAGAAAUAUGGGGUAAUACCGAAUACUACCUUAGUUUUUUGAGACUUUGGUGAAAGGGGCUUCGGCCUCGCUUUUAGAUGAGUCUGCGGCUUAUUAGCUAGUUGGUAGGGUAAGAGCCUACCAAGGCGACGAUAAGUAGCCGGCCUGAGAGGGUGACC
Molecule: ribosomal RNA, 251 nt
Filed under: uncultured bacterium
Lineage: Bacteria
Description: partial 16S ribosomal RNA
Rfam family: Bacterial small subunit ribosomal RNA
Source: RNAcentral